This 383-nucleotide ribosomal RNA is filed under the name Phyllodoce maculata. RNAcentral describes it as "SSU rRNA". It matches the Rfam family "Eukaryotic small subunit ribosomal RNA", at positions 567 to 954 of the family's 1831-position model. The record is from RNAcentral. Lineage: Eukaryota; Metazoa; Annelida; Polychaeta; Phyllodocida; Phyllodocidae.
CCAGCAGCCGCGGUAAUUCCAGCUCCAAUAGCGUAUAUUAAAGUUGUUGCAGUUAAAAAGCUCGUAGUUGGAUCUCAGGUCCCGGCUCGCGGUUCACUUCGCGGUGCUUACUGCCCGUCCGGACCUACCCGCCGGUUUUCCCUUGGUGCUCUUCAUUGAGUGUCUCGGGUGGCCGGAACGUUUACUUUGAAAAAAUUAGAGUGUUCAAAGCAGGCGCUUCGCCUGAAUAAUGGUGCAUGGAAUAAUGGAAUAGGACCUCGGUUCUAUUUUGUUGGUUUUCGGAACUCGAGGUAAUGAUUAAGAGGGACAGACGGGGGCAUUCGUAUUACGGUGUUAGAGGUGAAAUUCUUGGAUCGCCGUAAGACGAACUACUGCGAAAGCAU